Molecule: small nuclear RNA, 22 nt
Filed under: Arabidopsis thaliana (thale cress)
Lineage: Eukaryota; Viridiplantae; Streptophyta; Magnoliopsida; Brassicales; Brassicaceae
Description: snRNA_01181
Source: RNAcentral
GGACAGAAGUUAAAUCAUAAUA